Molecule: ribosomal RNA, 440 nt
Filed under: uncultured bacterium
Lineage: Bacteria
Description: partial 16S ribosomal RNA
Rfam family: Bacterial small subunit ribosomal RNA
Source: RNAcentral
CCUACGGGGGGCAGCAGUGGGGAAUAUUGCACAAUGGGGGGAACCCUGAUGCAGCGACGCCGCGUGAGUGAAGAAGUAUUUCGGUAUGUAAAGCUCUAUCAGCAGGGAAGAAAAUGACGGUACCUGAUUAAGAAGCCCCGGCUAACUACGUGCCAGCAGCCGCGGUAAUACGGAGGGGGCAAGCGUUAUCCGGAUUUAAUGGGUGUAAAGGGAGCGUAGACGGCAGCGCAAGUCUGAAGUGAAAUGCCGGGGCUUAACCCCGGAACUGCUUGGGAAACUGGGCAGCUAGAGUGCAGGAGAGGUAAGUGGAAUGCGUAGUGUAGCGGUGAAAUGCGUAGAUAUUAGGAGGAACACCAGUGGCGAAGGCGGCUUACUGGACUGUAACUGACGUUGAGGCUCGAAAGCGUGGGGAGCGAACAGGAUUAGAUACCCGUGUAGUC